Limulus polyphemus (Atlantic horseshoe crab) is the source of this 1488-nucleotide long non-coding RNA. RefSeq lists it as uncharacterized. NCBI's taxonomy places the organism in Eukaryota, Metazoa, Arthropoda, Merostomata, Xiphosura, Limulidae. The record is from RefSeq and is a predicted model, not a curated record. The transcript is spliced from 4 exons.
UCUAAACUAAUGUGUCUGUCUGUCUUUGUCCACAGUGGAGUUGAAUGGCCAGCAGACCUCCCCGCCACUACUAACCCAAGCACUAUCAGUGAUAAAUAACUAUGGUCCCACGGGCUUUGCUCCGCCCACAUCCCCAGCCAACAACCGUGGGUUCCCCGCCACCAAUAGUCCGGGACCCAUUGACUUGUAUAACUCUAACCAUGAUACUAUGGGUUACGUCCAGGCCACUAGCCCCCAGCCGUCUGGGUAUCCCCCCAUCGCUGUCAGCAGGGGUCCUUUGAUUGCAGCAGCUUUCACUAAUGGCUACCACUGAGGCUCAGCUUUCUGACCUUUGACCAGCAAUAGUAAGCUUGGAUAAGAUGGAUCCUCAGGGAAGAAAAGAAAGACUUCUGGUUGUCUGGGCAACAUUGACUAUGUGUAUAUGAAUUAUCCUGGACUAUGUCCGGAUGGAUCCGUGUUUAAUAAGUGAUAAUCUGUGAAACAUUAAUCUUCAAAGAUAGAAAAUGUUGACUGUUUAUGUUUCCGCUAGCCUAGUGGCUGAUGAAGAAAACGAAUGAUGUUUUGUUGGUUUUAUUUUCCAUACUUCACCAUCUCACAGAAGAUUUGGAUCCAAAGACAUACAUUUUUUGUUAACAUGGUUGAUGUUGUAAAAAUGUGUUGAAGAACUGAUAGCCAAAUAGGCCUAAUCUUAAAGGUCGUCAGUCACUUUAUUUGUUGCUAAUAAUGUCUCCAUGGUAAUCACUUUAAGGGUUCUUGUUUGUUUGUUUGUCCAAUCUGAUACUACUCUUUGGGACUUAUGUAGUCCAGUUUAAACAUUAACUUCUCGCGCGAGGUCCACAAGGACCACAAACAAAUAAUGAUGGCCCCCAAACUAUUAAGCCUGCAAGUAGACUUUUUUGUUCCCUCUAUUGAAGUUUCUUGGAAACGAACGAAGAAUUAAAUACUUCUUCGAAAUUUGUUGAAUAAAUUUUUCUUCUCCAUUUAAAGAUUAUAUAAGUUCUGAAGCGUUAAACAAGAAAGUGGAUUCUUCUUUUUAUUGUGGUGUUCAUAUAAUUCUAUUUUUUUCGUCUGUAAAUAUGACUGUGUUUAACUAUCUGUGACUAUUUAACCACAACGGAUCACUUUGUUGAUUUUAAUAACUCGAAUCUUGCGAUCAAAUAAAACAAAAAACUUGGACAUUCAUUUUCUCUUCACUUAUUUAUUUUUAACUUUUAACUGUUAUAUUAAUAUUUCCAUCACAAUUAACUCACAUUUAUAGGUAGCGUUUUCGUAAUUGAAAAUCCUUUAAUUUACAACGCAUUUAAGAAAUAUUGACCGAUACUGAAGCAAUAAAUAUUUUAUGUAUGGGCACUGCAAAAUUAACUUGUAAGACUUCUGAAAAUAAGGAUGACUCUACUUUAAACAACAAAGUAUUGACAAUGUUUCAUGACAGAAAUAUUUUGUACAUAUUAGGCAAAUUAAAGCAAUGAAUAUCUGGAAAAAAAACAC